GACGAACGCUGGCGGCGUGCUUAACACAUGCAAGUCGAACGGUAAGGCCCUUCGGGGUACACGAGUGGCGAACGGGUGAGUAACACGUGGGUGAUCUGCCCUGCACUUCGGGAUAAGCCUGGGAAACUGGGUCUAAUACCGGAUAGGACCACUGCCUGCAUGGGUGGUGGUGGAAAGCUUUUGCGGUGUGGGAUGGGCCCGCGGCCUAUCAGCUUGUUGGUGGGGUGAUGGCCUACCAAGGCGACGACGGGUAGCCGGCCUGGGAGGGUGACCGGCCACACUGGGACUGAGAUACGGCCCAGACUCCUACGGGGGGCAGCAGUGGGGAAUAUUGCCCAAUGGGCGCAAGCCUGAUGCAGCGACGCCGCGUGAGGGAUGACGGCCUUCGGGUUGUAAACCUCUUUCAGUAGGGACGAAGCGCAAGUGACGGUACCUACAGAAGAAGGACCGGCCAACUACGUGCCAGCCGCCGCCGUAA
This 478-nucleotide ribosomal RNA is filed under the name uncultured bacterium. RNAcentral describes it as "partial 16S ribosomal RNA". It matches the Rfam family "Bacterial small subunit ribosomal RNA", at positions 28 to 523 of the family's 1533-position model. The record is from RNAcentral.